RNAcentral lists this ribosomal RNA (484 nucleotides) under uncultured bacterium. RNAcentral's name for it is "partial 16S ribosomal RNA". It matches the Rfam family "Bacterial small subunit ribosomal RNA", at positions 30 to 507 of the family's 1533-position model. The record is from RNAcentral.
AUUGAACGCUGGCGGCAGGCCUAACACAUGCAAGUCGAGCGGAUGAAGGGAGCUUGCUCCUGGAUUCAGCGGCGGACGGGUGAGUAAUGCCUAUGAAUCUGCCUGGUAGUGGGGGAUAACGUCCUGAAACGGGCGCUAAUACCGCAUACGUCCUGAGGGCGCAAGUGGGGGAUCUUCGGACCUCACGCUUUCAUAUGUGCCUAGGUCGGAUUCGCUAGUUGGUGGGGUAAAGGCCUACCAAGGCGACGAUCCGUAACUCGUCUGAGAGGAUGAUCAGUCACACGGGAAGAGAGACACGGUCCAGACUCCUGCGGGAGGAAGCAGUGGAGAAUAUUAGGCGAGGGACGAAAGGGGAAUCCAGCCAAACCGCGUGUGGGAUGAAGGACCCAGGAUGGGAAAACGCUUUAAGUUGGGGGAAAGGAAAGUUAGUUAAUACGUGACUGUUUUGACGUUACCAGCAGAAUAAGCACCGGCUAACUUCGUG